RNAcentral lists this ribosomal RNA (329 nucleotides) under uncultured eukaryote. RNAcentral describes it as "partial 18S ribosomal RNA". It matches the Rfam family "Eukaryotic small subunit ribosomal RNA", at positions 1470 to 1796 of the family's 1831-position model. The record is from RNAcentral.
CCCUUAGAUGUUCUGGGCCGCACGCGCGCUACACUGACACGUUCAUCAAGUCUAUAACCUUGACCGAGAGGUCUGGGUAAUCUUUUAAAAACGUGUCGUGCUGGGGAUAGAUUAUUGCAAUUAUUAAUCUUCAACGAGGAAUUCCUAGUAAACGCAAGUCAUCAACUUUCAUUGAUUACGUCCCUGCCCUUUGUACACACCGCCCGUCGCUACUACCGAUUGAAUGAUUUAGUGAGUACCAGGGACCGAGCGCUUUGGUUGGGUUUCCUUCCCUAGCGCUUGGGAACUGUCGCAAACUUGACCAUUUAGAGGAAGUAAAAGUCGUAACA